UACGUAGGCAGCAAGCGUUGUUCGGAAUUACUGGGCGUAAAGGGUGCGUAGGCGGUCUUGUAAGUUUGGUGUGAAAUCUCCCGGCUCAACCGGGAGGGUGCGCCGAAAACUGCAAGGCUAGAGUACAGGAGAGGAGGGUGGAAUUCCUGGUGUAGCGGUGAAAUGCGUAGAUAUCAGGAGGAACACCGGUGGUGUAGACGGCUCUCUGGACUGUUACUGACGCUGAGGCACGAAAGCGUGGGGAGCAAACAGG
Molecule: ribosomal RNA, 253 nt
Filed under: uncultured bacterium
Lineage: Bacteria
Description: partial 16S ribosomal RNA
Rfam family: Bacterial small subunit ribosomal RNA
Source: RNAcentral